UACGGAGGGUGCAAACGUUGCUCGGAAUCAUUGGGCGUAAAGCGCACGUAGGCGGAUUGCUAAGUCAGGGGUGAAAUCCUGGAGCUCAACUCCAGAACUGCCUUUGAUACUGGCGAUCUCGAGUCCGGGAGAGGUGAGUGGAACUGCGAGUGUAGAGGUGAAAUUCGUAGAUAUUCGCAAGAACACCAGUGGCGAAGGCGGCUCACUGGCCCGGUACUGACGCUGAGGUGCGAAAGCGUGGGGAGCAAACAGG
This 253-nucleotide ribosomal RNA is filed under the name uncultured bacterium. Its description in RNAcentral is "partial 16S ribosomal RNA". It matches the Rfam family "Bacterial small subunit ribosomal RNA", at positions 524 to 776 of the family's 1533-position model. The record is from RNAcentral.